GCUGGAGGUAUCAGAAGUGCGAAUGCUGACAUGAGUAACGAUAAGGGGAGUGAAAAACUCCCCCGCCGAAAGACCAAGGUUUCCUGUCCCAUGUUAAUCAGGGCAGGGUAAGUCGGCCCCUAAGGCGAGGCGGAAACGCGUAGUCGAUGGGAAACAGAUUAAUAUUUCUGUACUUCUAUAUAUUGCGAAGGAGGGACGGAGUAGGCUAGGUGAGCACGGCGUUGGUAGUCCGUGUGAAAGUAUGUAGGCGGUUGUCUUAGGUAAAUCCGGGACUUCAUUAACGCUGAGAUACGAGACGAGACUCUACGGAGUUGAAGUCAUUGAUGCCAUGCUUCCAGGAAAAGCUUCUAAGCUUCAGAUAUAUAGGAACCGUACCCCAAACCGACACAGGUGGUUAGGUAGAGAAUACUAAGGCGCUUGAGAGAACUCGGGUGAAGGAACUAGGCAAAAUAGUACCGUAACUUCGGGAGAAGGUACGCUCUCUAAUGUGAAUGACUUGCUCAGUAAGCAUCGGAGAGUCGAAGUAACCAGGUGGCUGGAACUGUUUAUUAAAAACACAGCACUGUGCAAAAUCGAAAGAUGACGUAUACGGUGUGACGCCUGCCCGGUGCCGGAAGGUUAAUUGAUUGGGUUAGUCCUCGGACGAAGCUCAUGAUCGAAGCCCCGGUAAACGGCGGCCGUAACUAUAACGGUCCUAAGGUAGCGAAAUUCCUUGUCGGGUAAGUUCCGACCUGCACGAAUGGCGUAAUCAUGGCCACACUGUCUCCACCCGAGACUCAGUGAAAUUGAAAUUGCGGUUAAGAUGCCGUAUACCCGCGGCUAGACGGAAAGACCCCGUGAACCUUUACUAUAGCUUGACAGUGAACAUUGCUCCUACAUGUGUAGGAUAGGUGGGAGGCUUUGAAACCGCGUCGCUAGAUGCGGUGGAGCCAACCUUGAAAUACCACCCUUGUAUGCGUGAUGUUCUAACCUAGGGCCCUUAUCGGGCUUGGGGACACUGUCUGGUGGGUAGUUUGACUGGGGCGGUCUCCUCCCAAAGAGUAACGGAGGAGCACGAAGGUUGGCUAAGUACGGUCGGACAUCGUACGGUUAGUGCAAUGGCAUAAGCCAGCUUAACUGCGAGACAGACACGUCGAGCAGGUACGAAAGUAGGUCAUAGUGAUCCGGUGGUUCUGUAUGGAAGGGCCAUCGCUCAACGGAUAAAAGGUACU
Molecule: ribosomal RNA, 1211 nt
Filed under: seawater metagenome
Description: bacterial LSU rRNA
Rfam family: Bacterial large subunit ribosomal RNA
Source: RNAcentral